Molecule: transfer RNA, 85 nt
Filed under: Vibrio fluvialis
Lineage: Bacteria; Pseudomonadati; Pseudomonadota; Gammaproteobacteria; Vibrionales; Vibrionaceae
Description: tRNA-Leu
Rfam family: tRNA
About the family: Transfer RNA (tRNA) molecules are approximately 80 nucleotides in length. Their secondary structure includes four short double-helical elements and three loops (D, anti-codon, and T loops). Further hydrogen bonds mediate the characteristic L-shaped molecular structure. tRNAs have two regions of fundamental functional importance: the anti-codon, which is responsible for specific mRNA codon recognition, and the 3' end, to which the tRNAs corresponding amino acid is attached (by aminoacyl-tRNA synthetases). tRNAs cope with the degeneracy of the genetic code in two manners: having more than one tRNA (with a specific anti-codon) for a particular amino acid; and 'wobble' base-pairing, i.e. permitting non-standard base-pairing at the 3rd anti-codon position.
Source: RNAcentral
GCGGAAGUGGCGAAAUUGGUAGACGCACCAGAUUUAGGUUCUGGCGCCGCAAAGUGUGAGAGUUCAAGUCUCUCCUUCCGCACCA